AGACAUGGUCACUAUCUUGUGCUGAAAUCCUGUCCCUCACGAGGCACUAUUUAGUUUAAGUGCCGUUCUCCUUUUCGCUUAAGAACCCUAUCCUUUUUCUUUUCUCUUGUGCGUAAGUCCCAGUUUGCUGCUAAUCUCUCCGUCUCUGUUGAUCGAUCACAAUCUCUCCACGGUCAAAUCGCUCUCUCAAAUCGCGGUAUUGGGUCUCCAGUCCGCGGCACUGCGAAGAUCCCAGCUACUUGGAGCAAGAAAUUUACUUCUCGAAAGAGAGAAAAGGAGGAAAGGAAAGGGAAAAAAAUAUGGGAAAUUCGUGCUUUGGCGUGGCAAAGGAUCGCAAUCCCAAAUCCAGCGGCCAUCGAAUUCACCGCAGCAGGUCCUCGUCGUCAAUCGAUUCGUGUUCUUCUUCCUCGUCGGGGGAUAGGAUCAAAAGGCACAACCUCGUGAGGGAUGGAUUGGAGCCUUCUGGCGAGUCAGGAUGGGGUCCCCCGAUUCGGCUCGUUAUCUCGAAGGAGCAAGUCGAUGAAAUCGUCUCCGGCGCGUAUCAUCCGUCCAAGAUCGAUUACUUGGACCAUUUGGUGACGACGAUGCUCCGGGAAGAACUCAAGAAGCUUGGAGCAACGGCAACAGCAACAGCACGAUGAAAAGGAGAUAGAGUUUUUUCAUGCUGGUCAGAGUGUCAGCUAGCUCUAGCCAGCCAGUCGGAAGAACACACUUUUUUGGUUUUUCUGGAUACCUUGUAGUUCUUUUUUUUCCACCCCAUCCAAUCAAUUGCGAUGUCCAUAAUCAUGACAAGAAAAU
Molecule: long non-coding RNA, 798 nt
Filed under: Selaginella moellendorffii
Lineage: Eukaryota; Viridiplantae; Streptophyta; Lycopodiopsida; Selaginellales; Selaginellaceae
Description: long non-coding RNA (SMOE_LNC001118)
Source: RNAcentral